UCCAGACUCCUACGGGAGGCAGCAGUGGGGGAUAUUGCACAAUGGGGGAAACCCUGAUGCAGCGACGCCGCGUGAGUGAAGAAGUAUUUCGGUAUGUAAAGCUCUAUCAGCAGGGAAGAAAAAAGACGGUACCUGACUAAGAAGCCCCGGCUAACUACGUGCCAGCAGCCGCGGUAAUACGUAGGGGGCAAGCGUUAUCCGGAUUUACUGGGUGUAAAGGGAGCGUAGACGGCAAUACAAGUCGGAAGUGAAAUACCCGGGCUCAACCUGGGGACUGCUUUGGAAACUGUAUGGCUGGAGUGCUGGAGAGGUAAGCGGAAUUCCUAGUGUAGCGGUGAAAUGCGUAGAUAUUAGGAGGAACACCAGUGGCGAAGGCGGCUUACUGGACAGUAACUGACGUUGAGGCUCGAAAGCGUGGGGAGCAAACAGGAUUAGAUACCCCUGUA
This 446-nucleotide ribosomal RNA is filed under the name uncultured bacterium. RNAcentral describes it as "bacterial SSU rRNA". It matches the Rfam family "Bacterial small subunit ribosomal RNA", at positions 330 to 792 of the family's 1533-position model. The record is from RNAcentral.